CUCCUUUCGCCCCAGCGCUGCAGGUCCUCUUGGUCCUCGCUCUCUUUGCCGCUUCCUCCUACUCAAUCCCUCCGCCGAUUCUUUAUCCAAAAAAAUCUCACGGAAGAUCCAGCUUCCUCCAUUUUCACUCCUUCAGUUUUCGUGUUCCAGUCCGCGCUUCCUCCAUCUUCGCACUCCUUCAGUCUUCGUGUUCUAAACUUCUAAUCUGCGCUUGGGUUCAUUUUUCCCCCACGGCUACUGCAGAUAUUGUUUAUCAUGUUCAGAUCCCAUUUCUUGAAUCAUUUUGUUCACCGUUUGCUCGACUUCAUGGUUUUAGGGUUCGUGUUCUUUGUG
This 333-nucleotide unclassified non-coding RNA is filed under the name Zea mays. RNAcentral's name for it is "misc RNA Zm00001eb153810". Lineage: Eukaryota; Viridiplantae; Streptophyta; Magnoliopsida; Poales; Poaceae. The record is from RNAcentral.